This 162-nucleotide unclassified non-coding RNA is filed under the name uncultured Helotiales. RNAcentral describes it as "sequence contains ITS1". The record is from RNAcentral. Lineage: Eukaryota; Fungi; Ascomycota; Leotiomycetes; Helotiales.
ACGAGAACUUGCCCCCCGGGGCAGAUCUCCCACCCUCUGUGAACCAUACCUCUGUUGCUUUGGCGGGCCCGUCCUUGGACCGCCGGCUCCGGCCGGCCAGCGCCCGCCAGAGGAUCUCAAACGCUUCUGUCUGUGUCGUCCGAGUCUGAUAUUAAAUUGUCA